Molecule: long non-coding RNA, 455 nt
Organism: Medicago truncatula (barrel medic)
Lineage: Eukaryota; Viridiplantae; Streptophyta; Magnoliopsida; Fabales; Fabaceae
Exons: 2
Source: RefSeq, a predicted model, not a curated record
AACAUAGAAUGAAAUCUUACUUAUAAAGUGAUCAAAAAAUAAAAUUAUAUUCAUUACAUGCAAAAGAAGAAAAAUAUGGCUCAAAUGCACUUGUUUGUUUAUAUUUUCAUCAUCAUUCUCUCUCUAUUUAUUGCAGUAACCAAUGCUCUCAUAUUCUGCUUUGAAGACAUUAAUUGUCCAUUUGAUAAGUGUUUCCCUCAACUUCCGAAGUGCAUAAAUUCAUUUUGUGAGUGUGUGUAGACAACAAUUAAGUUGAAAAUUAAAUAUCCUUUCUAAGAAAAAAAAGUUUAAAAUAAUAUAGGUUCUGUUUUUGUUCUAUUGGUUGAUGUUUUGGUUCUGAAAAAUUAAAUAUAUCGCCAAGCAUAUAAUUAUAUUUGUGUGCUAUACUAUUUGUAUUUUUAUAAUUCAUCUCAAAUUGUUAAGUAUGUUUUUUAAUUUUUCAGUUUUUAUAACAA